UCUUCCGCAAUGGACGAAAGUCUGACGGAGCAACGCCGCGUGAGUGAUGAAGGUUUUCGGAUCGUAAAACUCUGUUGUUAGGGAAGAACAAGUACCGUUCGAAUAGGGCGGCACCUUGACGGUACCUAACCAGAAAGCCACGGCUAACUACGUGUCAGCAGCCGCGGUAAUACGCAGGCGGCAAGCGUUGCCCGGAAUUAUUGGGCGUAAAGCGCGCGCAGGCGGUUUCUUAAGUCUGAUGUGAAAGCCCCCGGCUCAACCGGGGUGGGUCAUUGGAAACUGGGGAACUUGAGUGCAGAAGAGGAGAGUGGAAUUCCACGUGAAGCGGUGAAAUGCGUAGAGAUGUGGAGGAACACCAGUGGCGAAGGCGACUCUCCGGUCUGUAACUGACGCUGAGGCGCGAAAGCGUGGGGAGCGAACAG
This 422-nucleotide ribosomal RNA is filed under the name uncultured bacterium. RNAcentral's name for it is "bacterial SSU rRNA". It matches the Rfam family "Bacterial small subunit ribosomal RNA", at positions 362 to 775 of the family's 1533-position model. The record is from RNAcentral.